GGUUGGGCAUCCUUGUCGCAGUGCGUGCCUGCCAUCCCUAGGUUUUGCAAGGUGGAUGCGGGGAGACCGGCUCUUCGCACAGCCCAGCAGGCACAGGAUAGGUACCGGCGCGGGGAAUUAAUUAUCUCCCCUGGGAGCUUAUGUUGGAGGGGGACGCCAGGUGUGGAGGCCUCGUUCAUCAGCUGCUGAGACUGCAGCAGAAUCGCCCUUUCUGUCUGCCUCCUGGGCGCUUUUUGUGCGGGAAGUCAGGUCCACGGUGGCCAGGGCCCUACAGGCAGGUGCUUACAGGAAAAGACGGAGAGCUCCUCCCUCCGUGAGCUCAGCGAAGAGAGAAAAAUCUGGGAUGUGUGCACCCUUUAAAUGCAUCGCAUUUCAGUUCUGCAAAUUCUAAGUGUAAAUUGGGCUAGAAUAUGAUUGUGAAUCAGACCAGACGUCAUGAUUAAUUUAUCACCGUGCUCCAGAUACAUCAGUUAAAAUAAUAAGAAUUUAAAGCAAUGGUUCCUCCUGCCUUUGUGUUUGUUCUAAGGAACAGAUCACUAGAGAAAUAAAGGAACUAAGAUUUCACUCUCUGCUUGUAUUAGGAGAGCAUGAACAGAA
Non-coding RNA from Ictidomys tridecemlineatus (thirteen-lined ground squirrel), 597 nucleotides. Lineage: Eukaryota; Metazoa; Chordata; Mammalia; Rodentia; Sciuridae. The record is from RefSeq and is a predicted model, not a curated record.